CUUUUAUCGACUUUACACCGACUCAAGAUUGGUGUAAACACAUGCCAUACAAGAGGUUCGCGGAAGCGAUUAUCAUGGCCUCAAAAAAAUAUAAGAUUGCUUACAGCAAGAAACGUUCUUGAUGGGCGGAGGAUAUCUUUAAGUGGGAACAUACAAUUCAGACUGGUGUUCCAAUUGACUUAAGAGGGUUUAAUACCAGCUACCUCGUUCUACAAGCUAUGGCCAUGUGGGGGAAUGACAGACGACUGAAAUUUGUUGGGGAUGCAAAGACUCUUCGAAAGAACUUUGUGAUUGAUCUGUUAAGUUAUGAGGAUAAUUCGUGC
Zea mays is the source of this 323-nucleotide long non-coding RNA. RefSeq lists it as uncharacterized. Lineage: Eukaryota; Viridiplantae; Streptophyta; Magnoliopsida; Poales; Poaceae. The transcript is spliced from 3 exons. The record is from RefSeq and is a predicted model, not a curated record.